UCCGGCAGCUGGCCUGGCGGGGAGACGAGGCUCUUGGCCUUCACAAGAAACAGGGCAAGAGGGUCGUUAACCUUCUGGCGCCGCUGGAGCCUGGUCAGCCAUCCAGGGUCGCCUUCCUUUGGUCCUGCCCUUGGGAAGGAGGCUGUUGAGUCAAACAUAGCUCCUCGUGGUCUCCUAGGCAGCAGUGUCUACCGCGGGGAUUGCUGGGCGGCCCUUUCGUAGUUUUCUAAGUUUCCUAGGAGUGUUGCUGUAAGCAGAAUGAAGACCAAAAGAAAUUUUUAAAAGGGAACAGAUAAGAAAAGUGAUGAUGAACAAGUACUAGGAGCCUAUGCAUGGCAGAAACAAAGUUUGAUUUCUCAUUUGAUAAAUAAUAAGUAUCAACUGAGUACCAGCCAUUGUUCUAGACUUUGAGGAUUCAGCAAGGAGCAAGGAAGACAAGGUUCAGAUUCCCAAGGAAUUUAUCAGCAAUUGCUUAAUUGACCAGGAAACAAGGAGAACUGGAAGAGCCCCCAGCCUAUAUUUAUUUAAUUCCACCUGCUCAUUUAUAUGAUCUCUUCAUUCCUGGGAACUAGGCUUGUACUUUCGUCUUUCACCCUUCUUCCCCUCCCUACUUUUCCACUUUAUGAGGACUAAUUUUCCGUAAUUCACAAGAUUUGUUACUUUCUGACUUUUCCUCAUGUCUUUCUUUGGAAUUCAUUUUGCCCAUCUCUUUUGGUUGCACUUUCACUCAGUCAAAAGAGUACAGAAGUAUCGACAUUCUCAAACGCUCAGAGUUCCUAGUCUGCAGGUUUGUUUUGUUUUUGUUUUUAAAGUGGGGAAAAAGUUUUCUUUUCUUUUUAAAUUGUGAUAA
Molecule: long non-coding RNA, 850 nt
Organism: Lemur catta (Ring-tailed lemur)
Lineage: Eukaryota; Metazoa; Chordata; Mammalia; Primates; Lemuridae
Exons: 3
Source: RefSeq, a predicted model, not a curated record